GAUGAACGCUGGCGGCGUGCUUAACACAUGCAAGUCGAACGGAAAGGCUCCUGCUUGCAGGGGUACUCGAGUGGCGAACGGGGGAGUAACACGUGGGUGAUCUGCCCUGCACUUCGGGAUAAGCCUGGGAAACGGGGUCUAAUACCGGAUAGGACGAGGGUUUGGAGGCCAUUGUGGAAAGUUUUUGCGGUGUGGGGUGAGCUCGCGGCCUAUCAGCUUUUUGGUGGUGUAGUGGCCUAGGAAGGCGUCGGCGGGUAUCCGGCCUGAGAGGGGGUACAGGCACAUUGGGACUGAGAUACGGCCCAGACUCCUACGGGAGGCAGCAGUGGGGAAUCUUGCACAACGGGCGCAAGCCUGAUGCAGCGACGCCGGGUGGGGGAUGACGGCCUGCGGGUUGUAAACUCCUUUCGCUAGGGACGAAGCGCAAGUGACGGUACCUGGAGAAGAAGCACCGGCUAACUACGUG
This 466-nucleotide ribosomal RNA is filed under the name uncultured bacterium. RNAcentral's name for it is "partial 16S ribosomal RNA". It matches the Rfam family "Bacterial small subunit ribosomal RNA", at positions 28 to 507 of the family's 1533-position model. The record is from RNAcentral.